This 468-nucleotide ribosomal RNA is filed under the name uncultured bacterium. RNAcentral describes it as "partial 16S ribosomal RNA". It matches the Rfam family "Bacterial small subunit ribosomal RNA", at positions 28 to 507 of the family's 1533-position model. The record is from RNAcentral.
GACGAACGCUGGCGGCGUGCUUAACACAUGCAAGUCGAACGGAAAGGCCCUGCUUUUGUGGGGUGCUCGAGUGGCGAACGGGUGAGUAACACGUGAGUAACCUGCCCUUGACUUUGGGAUAACUUCAGGAAACUGGGGCUAAUACCGGAUAGGAGCUCCUGCUGCAUGGUGGGGGUUGGAAAGUUUCGGCGGUUGGGGAUGGACUCGCGGCUUAUCAGCUUGUUGGUGGGGUAGUGGCUUACCAAGGCUUUGACGGGUAGCCGGCCUGAGAGGGUGACCGGCCACAUUGGGACUGAGAUACGGCCCAGACUCCUACGGGAGGAAGAAGUGGGGAAUAUUGAACAAGGGGCGGAAGCCUGAUGCAGCAACGCCGCGUGCGGGAUGACGGCCUUCGGGUGGUAAACCGCUUGCGCCUGUGACGAAGCGUGAGUGACGGGAAUGGGUAAAGAAGCACCGGCUAAAUACGUG